UCCAUGGGAAAAUUGCUGGAGAUAGUAAGAAGGGUGGUACUAAAAGAUGAGAGAAUCAGUGAGAAAGCAGUGCAAGAGUAAAAGUAGCUUUCAGUGAGGAAGUAGUACACUGAGCAGCAGCCAGCUGCGUUACAAACACAACAAGAUCAAGUGGAUAUUGGCAACCAGGGGCUCAGUGUAGGAAGGAUAUAACAUCUGUCUGGGCAACACCCAGGAAGACAGAAUGUCUUUGUGAAUUCAUGAGUUCAAGGAAACAUCUAGAUUUUAACUUUCAGGAAGAUGAACAAGAUCACAAAUCAAAUGGAACAAUUGAAUCAAGGACCAUGAUUUUUCCAGAGAAUAUAGACAUAUGAAACUCAACUUGAAUAUAUUCUGGAGUAAAUACAUCAGUGUCAAAAAAAAAAAAUGCAAAGGAGAGGUUGCCCAGUGCUGACAUUUCUAAGAAGUUUGAGUGAGAAGCUCUCCUGAAGUUCCAUGGCUGUUGAAAUGGCAAACUCCAAAGUCCUUAAAAAUUCAUAUGAAAGAAGAUUCUCUCAGGAAGUCAUUCAUAGAUCAUCUUCCCAAUAGAUGAUCCUCUGCACUUCUUUCAGGCCUGUAAACAGACUUGCUUAUUAAAGAAAUCAGCAAAAAGUUC
Molecule: long non-coding RNA, 634 nt
Organism: Mus musculus (house mouse)
Lineage: Eukaryota; Metazoa; Chordata; Mammalia; Rodentia; Muridae
Product: predicted gene, 30974
Exons: 4
Source: RefSeq, a predicted model, not a curated record